This is a non-coding RNA of Physcomitrium patens, 1210 nucleotides long. NCBI's taxonomy places the organism in Eukaryota, Viridiplantae, Streptophyta, Bryopsida, Funariales, Funariaceae. The record is from RefSeq and is a predicted model, not a curated record.
AGGCGACCGAGUUGUCGAGAAUCCCUCCAAAUUGGGCCUAUGGCGGCACCGCACUCGGGCCCCGAGUGUGGCCUCGUCAACCCGGCGGCGCUAAUGUAGCGAUGCUGCUCCCUGCCCCGCCUGCCUGCCCUUUGCAACGGUGGAGCCUACACCGCUCGGCCGCCCUGAUUCGUCGUUGUGGUGCGACGAGGACGAUGUUGUGGUUCGCGGCCGCCCUGACUCUGCGGGGGUUCUACGCACUUGCACCCAGUACUGAUGCUGCUACUGCCAUGCGAUUGCCUCGCCCGCCAUCGAACCUUUGAAGAGUCACACCCCCAUGAUCUUGCACCCGGUCGUUUGUUUUACGCUACCCUAAUUUACGCUGCACCCAAGUGGUGAGAUGCGACAUGGCUUGACGUUCGAGAGCUUGGACUUUCUUUGGUGUGACGGAAACCUAACCUUGAAUUUCUGCUUGUGGGGUUGUGAGUGUGGACCUGACAGAAGGGAAAACUUUGUGUGACUGUGGACGUGAAUCUUCUGGGAUGGUGAGAGGAUGCUACCAUUCUCAUUCCCUGUGUGUAUGUGUGCCGUUACUGUUCCUGCAGAGUGUUUGAGAGUCUGAUACGUGGUUAGAAGUCAGGAGUGCUGACGAUGAUGCAUCUGUGAAGAUGUACUGGAUUGCGCACGUCAAGCAUCGCAUCCGGAAUAUAACGACGCAUUAUUAAAAGAAGAGUUCCCAAGAUGGAGAGAUUAAAUUGUAUUUACAGCAUUGACCGCUCGAUGCAUGUGAAAAAAAGGUGUCGCUGGCAGACUCCAUGAGAACCAACCCCAAUAUUGUUAGAAUUCUGCCCAUCUCAAACUCAGGAUCUGAAGCAAAAAUUUGAUUGAAAUCCUCCCAAAUUUAGAAUGCAAGACUACACGAGACGAUGCACAGAGGUCACUCGCCUGUCUCAAACUUGAGAAGGAACUGUCAGUCUCAGAGCAUCGAAAAUACCUCAGCAUGCGUUCGAGGUAAUGAACAGCCGUGGACAGUCAACUGUUCAUCUUCACUCAAAAAAUGUCACUAGCAACUCUCGGUCGACUUCAUCUUCCAGCAUGCAAUUGAAAUAUAGAUGCACCGAGGACAACGCUAAAUGGUCAUGAACUUUGUCGCAUUGACCAGAACUCUUUGCACCAUGAUUGCGGUGCUUAUUACAGAACUCAGUAUCGAAGUGAAAGUUUUUCAGCUUCA